This 425-nucleotide ribosomal RNA is filed under the name uncultured bacterium. RNAcentral describes it as "partial 16S ribosomal RNA". It matches the Rfam family "Bacterial small subunit ribosomal RNA", at positions 354 to 796 of the family's 1533-position model. The record is from RNAcentral.
GUUAGGAAUAUUGGACAAUGGGCGCAAGCCUGAUCCAGCCAUGCCGCGUGAGUGAUGAAGGCCUUCGGGUUGUAAAGCUCUUUAGCCGAUGAUUAUAAUGACUGUAGUCGGAAAAUAAGCCCCGGCUAACUUCGUGCCAGCAGCCGCGGUAAUACGAAGGGGGCGAGCGUUAUUCGGAAUCACUGGGCGUAAAGCGUGCGUAGGCGGGUUUGCAAGUUGGGAGUGAAAGCCCAGGGCUCAACCCUGGAAUUGCUCUCAAAACUGCAAGGCUCGAAUUCGGGAGAGGAUAGCGGAAUUGUCAGUGUAGCAGUGAAAUGCGUAGAUAUUGACAGGAACACCAGUGGCGUAAGCGGCUAUCUGGACCGAUAUUGACGCUGAGGCACGAAAGCGUGGGGAUCGAACAGGAUUAGAUACCCGAGUAGUCC